Molecule: ribosomal RNA, 492 nt
Filed under: uncultured bacterium
Lineage: Bacteria
Description: partial 16S ribosomal RNA
Rfam family: Bacterial small subunit ribosomal RNA
Source: RNAcentral
AGCGAACGCUGGCGGUAGGCCUAACACAUGCAAGUCGAACGGCAGCACAGUAAGAGCUUGCUCUUACGGGUGGCGAGUGGCGGACGGGUGAGGAAUACAUCGGAAUCUACUUUUUCGUGGGGGAUAACGUAGGGAAACUUACGCUAAUACCGCAUACGACCUACGGGUGAAAGCAGUGGAUCUUCGGACCUUGCGCGAUUGAAUGAGCCGAUGUCGGAUUAGCUAGUUGGCGGGGUAAAGGCCCACCAAGGCGACGAUCCGUAGCUGGUCUGAGAGGAUGAUCAGCCACACUGGAACUGAGACACGGUCCAGACUCCUACGGGAGGCAGCAGUGGGGAAUAUUGGACAAAGGGCGCAAGCCUGAUCCAGCCAUGCCGCGUGGGUGAAGAAGGCCUUCGGGUUGUAAAGCCCUUUUGUUGGGAAAGAAAAGCAGCAGGUUAAUACCCCGCUGUUCUGACGGUACCCAAAGAAUAAGCACCGGCUAACCUCGUG